UACGAAGGGGGCUAGCGUUGCUCGGAAUUACUGGGCGUAAAGCGCACGUAGGCGGAUUGUUAAGUCGGGGGUGAAAUCCUGGAGCUCAACUCCAGAACUGCCUUCGAUACUGGCGAUCUAGAGUCCGGGAGAGGUGAGUGGAACUGCGAGUGUAGAGGUGAAAUUCGUAGAUAUUCGCAAGAACACCGGUGGCGAAGGCGGGUCUCUGGCCCGAUACUGACGCUGAGGCACGAAAGCGUGGGGAGCAAACAGG
RNAcentral lists this ribosomal RNA (253 nucleotides) under uncultured bacterium. RNAcentral describes it as "partial 16S ribosomal RNA". It matches the Rfam family "Bacterial small subunit ribosomal RNA", at positions 524 to 776 of the family's 1533-position model. The record is from RNAcentral.